RNAcentral lists this transfer RNA (73 nucleotides) under Felis catus (domestic cat). It matches the Rfam family "tRNA". From Rfam's summary of the family: Transfer RNA (tRNA) molecules are approximately 80 nucleotides in length. The record is from Rfam by way of RNAcentral. Lineage: Eukaryota; Metazoa; Chordata; Mammalia; Carnivora; Felidae. RNAcentral also lists the same sequence under 1 other name.
GCCUGUCUGGCUUACUCAGUAGAGCAUCUGACUCUUGAUCUCUGGAUUGUGAGUUCAAGCCCCACGUUGGGCA